CCUACGGGAGACAGCAGUGAGGAAUAUUGGUCAAUGGCCGGAAGGCUGAACCAGCCAUGCCGCGUGCUUGAUUAAGCCCUUCGGGGUGUAAAGAUUUGUCAGUGGGGACGAAACUUGACGGUACCCACAGAGGAUGCACCUGCUAACUCCGUGCAAGCAGCCUCGGUAAUACGGAGGGUGCAAGCGUUGUCCGGAAUCAUUGGGCGUAAAGAGUUCGUAGGUGGCAUAUUAAGUCUGGUGUUAAAUGCAGAAGCUCAACUUCUGUUCGGCACUGGAUACUGGUAAGCUUGAAUGCGGUAGAGGUAAAGGGAAUUCCUGGUGUAGCGGUGAAAUGCGUAGAUAUCAGGAGGAACAUCGGUGGCGUAGGCGCUUUACUGGGCCGUAAUUGACACUGAGGAACGAAAGCCGGGGUAGCAAAUGGGAUUAGAUACCCCAGUAGUC
RNAcentral lists this ribosomal RNA (441 nucleotides) under uncultured bacterium. Its description in RNAcentral is "partial 16S ribosomal RNA". It matches the Rfam family "Bacterial small subunit ribosomal RNA", at positions 338 to 795 of the family's 1533-position model. The record is from RNAcentral.